GUGUGAUGAGAAAGUUAGCAGUGGUCCAGUGGGUCAGUGGGGAGGAUGCUGGGAUGUAUAGCGAGGUAAAAACCGAUGCCAUACGUAAAUAUGAUGACACCAAGAUGGAUGAUGAUGGAUACCCACAUACUGACUAUUCAGCUGCAGUGGAGUGGAAGAAAGGGAAAAAGUCAAAACAUGGUUGGCCAGUGUACAUGGCCUCUGUCAAGUUUGUGAGCAACAAUCGAUUUCAUACUAAUAAUAAAAUUAAGGAAUUUCUGGGGUUGGAGUCUGAUGAAAGUAGCAAAGCACUGCCUAAGAAAAGAGCCUCAGUCCCACCAUCAAGAUAUACAGAUUCAGAUGAAACUGAUGUUGAGAAUACACCGACCCAAAGGAAAAAGACAGUGAUCCCCAAACCACAGAGAAAUGUUGCCCAAAUGAUUGUUGAUGAGUAUAAAGCCACAACCUUGACAGAGACUCAGAAGAAGCUGAAGGAAAUGGAGGAGGAAAACAAAAAAUUGAGAAACGACAACGAAAAAUUAAGAAGAAUGCUUAUUAGAGAGCUACCAAAUCUGAUUAAUGAAGUGAAGAUGGCUCUGAAGUCUCAGUGUUCAUCAACAACAUCAGUCAGCUCUGACUUGGAAAGUAGACAGGGUUUGCCACAGAGUAUUGCACAGCCCUCCCCACAGCCCUCUCCCACAGCCCUCCACCCACUGAAAGCAGUAUCCACAGAACAGGUGGAAAUUUGUCCUGGAUCAAAUGUAUUUGUUAACAGACUGGCAUGGGCUGUGGCCCAGAAUGCGAACUCCACCUCCUGUUUUGUAAGAUCACUCCUGACAGCAGUGUUCCCAAUUGAUGUGCUUCUGGUGAGCAAUCUUCGAGGAACAUCCAGGGAUUCUGGGACACAACGUCAGGCUCUUGACAAAAUGAAAGUGGAUGCUAUCUACAGAGCAACACUGCAAAAGUGGCCUCAUGUGGUGCCCUCCAGCAUUGGUGCAGCCAUCAAUGCCAAACUUACUGAAAUUAGAGCAAAGAAAAAAACACAAAAACAUCCGGAAACCUUAAUGCUUUUUGAUGAUUGA
This 1061-nucleotide long non-coding RNA is filed under the name Carassius auratus (goldfish). RNAcentral's name for it is "lncRNA (ENSCARG00000057926.1)". Lineage: Eukaryota; Metazoa; Chordata; Actinopteri; Cypriniformes; Cyprinidae. The record is from RNAcentral.